AUUUCUCUGAGGUGUUCGUCAGCGGGCCAGUCCCCUGAGCCGAUAUUUGAUACCACAAGAAUGUGGCGCUUGUUAAUUGGUGAGCAUGCUCGGUUUGUCCGAGAAGCCUUAAGAUUACGACGCUGCGUUCACCUUGAACCAUGGGUUCAAGGGUUACAGCUUGCGACGGCAUCUCGGAGAUCCC
This 184-nucleotide non-coding RNA is filed under the name Bruguierivorax albus. RNAcentral describes it as "Biostraticola sp. BGMRC 2031 6S RNA". It matches the Rfam family "6S / SsrS RNA". Rfam says of the family: E. coli 6S RNA was the first non coding RNA to be sequenced, but its function was unknown until recently. It consists of 184 nucleotides that fold into an extended hairpin structure with a large single-stranded internal bulge. Lineage: Bacteria; Pseudomonadati; Pseudomonadota; Gammaproteobacteria; Enterobacterales; Bruguierivoracaceae. The record is from RNAcentral.